Molecule: long non-coding RNA, 203 nt
Filed under: Lathyrus oleraceus (garden pea)
Lineage: Eukaryota; Viridiplantae; Streptophyta; Magnoliopsida; Fabales; Fabaceae
Description: Pisum sativum (pea) long non-coding RNA (PSAT_LNC017446)
Source: RNAcentral
GUUUAUGAAGACAAGAUUAAGUCUUAAGAAACUCCUCCCUUUUUCGAAUUUCUCAUCCCAGAUUAUGUGGGAUUUGGUUUGUUCUGUUUUAAGCUAAUGCCAAAAGUGUUUUUUGGAUGUUUAGGUUAACCUUCUGGGUAAAGCUUCAAACUGUAUGAUUUAUUUAGUUGUUUUUCAGUUCUCUAAGUGCUUUUGAAAAGUGC